Molecule: transfer RNA, 75 nt
Filed under: Candidatus Pacearchaeota archaeon
Lineage: Archaea; Nanobdellati
Also listed under: 1 other name
Description: tRNA-Gly
Rfam family: tRNA
About the family: Transfer RNA (tRNA) molecules are approximately 80 nucleotides in length. Their secondary structure includes four short double-helical elements and three loops (D, anti-codon, and T loops).
Source: RNAcentral
GCGAGUGUCGUAUAGUGGCUAUUACACAUCCUUGCCAUGGAUGAGACGAGGGUUCGAUUCCCUUCACUCGCUCCA